GCCGAAGUGGUGGAAUUGGCAGACGCGCUGGACUCAAAAUCCAGUGGUAGCAAUACCGUGUGGGUUCGACUCCCACCUUCGGCACCA
This 87-nucleotide transfer RNA is filed under the name Thermoanaerobacteraceae bacterium. Its description in RNAcentral is "tRNA-Leu". It matches the Rfam family "tRNA". Rfam says of the family: Transfer RNA (tRNA) molecules are approximately 80 nucleotides in length. Their secondary structure includes four short double-helical elements and three loops (D, anti-codon, and T loops). Lineage: Bacteria; Bacillati; Bacillota; Clostridia; Thermoanaerobacterales; Thermoanaerobacteraceae. The record is from RNAcentral. RNAcentral also lists the same sequence under 2 other names.